This 248-nucleotide unclassified non-coding RNA is filed under the name fungal sp. RNAcentral describes it as "partial internal transcribed spacer region". The stretch from base 1 to 46 matches the Rfam family "Eukaryotic small subunit ribosomal RNA", at positions 1786 to 1831 of the family's 1831-position model. Lineage: Eukaryota; Fungi. The record is from RNAcentral.
AAGUCGUAACAAGGUUUCCGUAGGUGAACCUGCGGAAGGAUCAUUACAAAUCCAACGUCUCUCUGAGACACCGUUGAAAUAUAGUGGAUCAGGCCUGGACUGGACCGGACUGGACUGGACGAGGGCAACCUCGGACAUCAUCCGCCCGCCCACCCUUGUCUGAUCUGCGAAAACUCACUAGAAACUGUUGAUCAUAUGUAUGCUUCUUAACAAAGAAACAACUUAUACCAAUGGAUCUCUAGGCUCUU